AUUGAACGCUGGCGGAAUGCUUUACACAUGCAAGUCGAACGGCAGCACGGACUUCGGUCUGGUGGCGAGUGGCGAACGGGUGAGUAAUGUAUCGGAACGUGCCCAGUCGUGGGGGAUAACGUAGUGAAAAUUACGCUAAUACCGCAUACGAUCUAUGGAUGAAAGCGGGGGAUCGCAAGACCUCGCGCGAUUGGAGCGGCCGAUAUCAGAUUAGGUAGUUGGUGGGGUAAAGGCCCACUAAGCCAACGAUCUGUAGCUGGUCUGAGAGGACGGCCGCGCACACUGGAACUGGGACACGGUCCAGACUCCUACUGGAGGCAGCAGUGGGGAAUGUUGGACAAUGGGCGAAAGCCCGAUCCAGCCAUUCCGCGUGCAGGAUGAAGGCCCUCGGGUUGUAAACUGCUUUUGUACAGAACGAAAAGGUUUCUACUAAUACUAGGAGCUCAUGACGGUACUGUAAGAAUAAGCACCGGCUAACUACGUGCCAGCCGCCGCGGUAA
This 500-nucleotide ribosomal RNA is filed under the name uncultured bacterium. Its description in RNAcentral is "partial 16S ribosomal RNA". It matches the Rfam family "Bacterial small subunit ribosomal RNA", at positions 30 to 523 of the family's 1533-position model. The record is from RNAcentral.